UGGGGAAUAUUGGACAAUGGGCGCAAGCCUGAUCCAGCCAUGCCGCGUGUGUGAAGAAGGCCUUUUGGUUGUAAAGCACUUUAAGCGAGGAGGAGGCUACUUGGAUUAAUACUCUAAGAUAGUGGACGUUACUCGCAGAAUAAGCACCGGCUAACUCUGUGCCAGCAGCCGCGGUAAUACAGAGGGUGCGAGCGUUAAUCGGAUUUACUGGGCGUAAAGCGUGCGUAGGCGGCUUCUUAAGUCGGAUGUGAAAUCCCUGAGCUUAACUUAGGAAUUGCAUUCGAUACUGGGAAGCUAGAGUAUGGGAGAUGAUGGUAGAAUUCCAGGUGUAGCGGUGAAAUGCGUAGAGAUCUGGAGGAAUACCGAUGGCGAAGGCAGCCAUCUGGCCUAAUACUGACGCUGAGGUACGAAAGCAUGGGGAGCAAACAGG
This 430-nucleotide ribosomal RNA is filed under the name bacterium. RNAcentral's name for it is "partial 16S ribosomal RNA". It matches the Rfam family "Bacterial small subunit ribosomal RNA", at positions 355 to 776 of the family's 1533-position model. The record is from RNAcentral.